This 675-nucleotide long non-coding RNA is filed under the name Ananas comosus (pineapple). RNAcentral describes it as "long non-coding RNA (ACOM_LNC006464)". The record is from RNAcentral. Lineage: Eukaryota; Viridiplantae; Streptophyta; Magnoliopsida; Poales; Bromeliaceae.
UAUAUAUAUAUAUAUAGUUGAGCUAAAAUAUUUUCAAAAGUAUCAAGAGGUUGGUACUUUUGAAUUUUUAAUACUUGGAUGGAAAAAUAUAAGGUUUGGAUGAUGAUGGUAGGUGGCGGUAGAUGCAAUAGUAUUUGAUCCAAAGACUAGAAGCACCAAGAGAGUAAUAUACUUCUAAAAAUAUUCUAGCUCAAUUAUAUAUAUAUAUAUAUAUAUAUAUAANAAACUUCUAGAAAAUAAAUUUCGUAAAUUUUCGAAAUCAUAAUAAAGUCUAUCAAGUGGGCAUAAAAUGAACAGUCAAAAUCGAACGACGUCCUAAAAAAGGAUGAUCGGAUCCUUCAAUUCAAGAUCGGAGUUAUUGAUCUUUAUCUAUAUAGUGAAUAGAAUUUUCUAUCAAAAAUUCAACAAAUUUCGAUUCUUUUACACCGUUAAACUAGCGAGUAUUCCAUACCGGCCGUUAAAAAUUGUCAAAUUUGUGACCUCUUGAUCGUAAGGUAAAUGAUGUCGAAAAAUUAUAAAAUUUGAUUUCUAAAAGUUUUAAAUGCUGUAAAUAACAUUUAACGGUGUGGAUCGUCGAUUUGGAAGCUCUAUCAUCGAAAACAAUUUAUGAGUACGACGGUAAUCAUAUUCAUAAUAGUAUAGUAGCCGGACCCUAUAUAUAUAUAUAUAUAUAUA